GCAGCAGGCGCGUAAAUAGACCAAUCCUGACACAGGGAGGUAGUGACAAAAAAUAACAAUGCCGGGCUUUUUCAAGUCUGGCAAUUGGAAUGAGAACAAUUUAAAUCCCUUAUCGAGGAUCAAUUGGAGGGCAAGUCUGGUGCCAGCAGCCGCGGUAAUUCCAGCUCCAAUAGCGUAUAUUAAUGUUGUUGCAGUUAAAAAGCUCGUAGUUGGAUUUCUGGUGGGGUUGUCGGCCUGGCUCCGAAAGGGGUCGUGGCUUGUACACACCUUGCCAUCCCGGGGGUAGCUUUGCUGGCAUUGAGUUGUCGGCGGAGUGACGCUCGUCGUUACUGUGAACAAAUUAGAGUGUUCAAAGCAGGCUUAGGCCGUUGAAUACAUUAGCAUGGAAUAAUAAGAUAGGACUUUGGUGGUCUAUUUUGUUGGUGUGCACGCCGAAUUAAUGAUUAAUAGGGGCGGUUGGGGGUAUUCGUAUUCAAUUGUCAGAGGUGAAAUUCUUGGAUUUAUGGAAGACGAACUACUGCGAAAGCAUUUACCAAGGAUGUUUUCAUUAAUCGAGAACGAAAGUUAGGGGAUCGAAGAACAUUAGAUACCUUCGUAGUCUUAACCAUCAACUAUGCCGACUAGGGAUUGGCGGUCGCUUGUUUAGGCUCCGUC
This 654-nucleotide ribosomal RNA is filed under the name eukaryote marine clone NA11-6. RNAcentral describes it as "SSU rRNA". It matches the Rfam family "Eukaryotic small subunit ribosomal RNA", at positions 425 to 1081 of the family's 1831-position model. The record is from RNAcentral.